Molecule: ribosomal RNA, 253 nt
Filed under: uncultured bacterium
Lineage: Bacteria
Description: partial 16S ribosomal RNA
Rfam family: Bacterial small subunit ribosomal RNA
Source: RNAcentral
UACGUAGGGGGCGAGCGUUAUCCGGAUUUACUGGGUGUAAAGGGAGCGUAGACGGUUAUGCAAGUCAGAAGUGAAAGCCCAAAGCUCAACUUCGGGACUGCUUUUGAAACUGUGUAACUAGAGUGCAGGAGGGGUAAGCGGAAUUCCUAGUGUAGCGGUGAAAUGCGUAGAUAUUAGGAGGAACACCGGCGGCGAAGGCGGCUUACUGGACUGCAACUGACGUUGAGGCUCGAAAGCGUGGGGAGCAAACAGG